Molecule: ribosomal RNA, 400 nt
Filed under: uncultured bacterium
Lineage: Bacteria
Description: bacterial SSU rRNA
Rfam family: Bacterial small subunit ribosomal RNA
Source: RNAcentral
UUAGGAAUCUUCCACAAUGGGCGAAAGCCUGAUGGAGCGACGCCGCGUGAGGGAUGAAGGCCUUAGGGUUGUAAACCUCUAAAAGAGGGACGAUAAUGACGGUACCUCUUGAAUAGCACCGGCUAACUCCGUGCCAGCAGCAGCGGUAAUACGGAGGGUGCAAGCGUUAUCCGGAAUCACUGGGCGUAAAGGGCGCGUAGGCGGUCUGUUAAGUCCUAUGUUAAAUCCCGGGGCUCAACCCCGGAUAAGCGUUGGAUACUGGCAGGCUAGACGGUUGGAGAGGCGAGUGGAAUUACCAGUGUAGCGGUGGAAUGCGUAGAUACUGGUAGGAACACCCAUUGCGAAGGCAGCUCGCUGGACAACACGUGACGCUGAGGCGCGAAAGUGUGGGGAGCAAACC